This 426-nucleotide ribosomal RNA is filed under the name uncultured bacterium. RNAcentral's name for it is "bacterial SSU rRNA". It matches the Rfam family "Bacterial small subunit ribosomal RNA", at positions 355 to 774 of the family's 1533-position model. The record is from RNAcentral.
UGAGGAAUAUUGGACAAUGGGCGCAAGCCUGAUCCAGCAAUGCCGCGUGCAGGAUGAAGGCCUUCGGGUUGUAAACUGCUUUUGUACGGAGCGAAAAGGUCUGCCCUAAUACGGUGGGCUCAUGACGGUACCGUAAGAAUAAGCACCGGUUAACUACGUGCCAGCAGCCGCGGUAAUACGUAGGGUGCGAGCGUUAAUCGGAAUUACUGGGCGUAAAGCGUGCGCAGGCGGUUAUAUAAGACAGAUGUGAAAUCCCCGGGCUCAACCUGGGACCUGCAUUUGUGACUGUAUAGCUAGAGUACGGUAGGGGGGAUGGAAUUCCGCGUGUAGCAGUGAAAUGCGUAGAUAUGCGGAGGAACACCGAUGGCGAAGGCAAUCCCCUGGACCUGUACUGACGCUCAUGCACGAAAGCGUGGGGAGCAAACA